UACGAAGGGGGCUAGCGUUGCUCGGAAUGACUGGGCGUAAAGGGCGCGUAGGCGGUUUGGACAGUCAGAUGUGAAAUUCCUGGGCUCAACCUGGGGGCUGCAUUUGAUACGUUCGGACUAGAGUGGGGAAGAGGGUCGUGGAAUUCCCAGUGUAGAGGUGAAAUUCGUAGAUAUUGGGAAGAACACCGGUGGCGAAGGCGGCUCACUGGCCCGGUACUGACGCUGAGGCGCGAAAGCGUGGGGAGCAAACAGG
Molecule: ribosomal RNA, 253 nt
Filed under: uncultured bacterium
Lineage: Bacteria
Description: partial 16S ribosomal RNA
Rfam family: Bacterial small subunit ribosomal RNA
Source: RNAcentral